GGCUUUCUGCUAUUCAAGGAGCAGUCAUUUUCUCUGUGGAGAGAUUCCAGGGCUGUACAUGGAGCUCCUUGAAGGGCAGCAGUCAGAGUUCUGGUCCGGAUCCCUGCUGCUACACUGUGCAAUGAAGAGGUUGAAGUCUGAGGCCGUUCUCUGGUUUCAUCCAGCUGUUUAUUCUCGGGAAAUUACGUCACUUGUCUGCGCCUAAAUUUCUUCACAUAUAAAAAGAGUUUGCUUUGCAACAUGAUCAUCAGUGAUCUAUCAACGGACUCAAGCUGGGGCCAGAAAGAGUGGUGAG
This is a long non-coding RNA of Chinchilla lanigera (long-tailed chinchilla), 295 nucleotides long. RefSeq lists it as uncharacterized. Lineage: Eukaryota; Metazoa; Chordata; Mammalia; Rodentia; Chinchillidae. The transcript has 3 exons. The record is from RefSeq and is a predicted model, not a curated record.